GAUGAACGCUGGCGGCGUGCUUAACACAUGCAAGUCGAACGGAGAUAUCAUUUUCGAAGCGAUUAGUUUACUAAGAGUAGAGAUGUUGAUAUCUUAGUGGCGGACGGGUGAGUAACGCGUGGGUAACCUGCCUUACACUGGGGGAUAACACUUAGAAAUAGGUGCUAAUACCGCAUAAUAGGAGAAGACGCAUGUCUUAUCCUUGAAAACUCCGGUGGUGUAAGAUGGACCCGCGUCUGAUUAGCCAGUUGGCGGGGUAACGGCCCACCAAAGCGACGAUCAGUAGCCGGCCUGAGAGGGUGAACGGCCACAUUGGGACUGAGACACGGCCCAA
Molecule: ribosomal RNA, 334 nt
Filed under: uncultured bacterium
Lineage: Bacteria
Description: bacterial SSU rRNA
Rfam family: Bacterial small subunit ribosomal RNA
Source: RNAcentral